GCAAACUUGGUCAUUUAGAGGAAGUAAAAGUCGUAACAAGGUCUCCGUUGGUGAACCAGCGGAGGGAUCAUUACAGAGUUGCAAAACUCCAAACCCAUGUGAACAUACCUCGUGUUGCCUCGGCGGCGAGCGAAGUGCUCGGGAGGUGCCUACCCGGUACUUACCCGGUAGCUACCCUGUAGCCUCCUACCCUGGAGCUGCGAGGUACCUACCCUGGAGCUACCCUGUAGUAACCUACCCGGUAGCUACCCUGGAGCACAUGCGCAUCCGCCGGCGGACCACUCAAACUCUUGUUUCUGUGUGGCACAUCUGAGUAAUUAUACAUAAUAAGUCAAAACUUUCAACAACGGAUCUCUUGGUUCUGGCAUCGAUGAAGAACGCAGC
RNAcentral lists this unclassified non-coding RNA (384 nucleotides) under uncultured fungus. RNAcentral's name for it is "partial contains small subunit ribosomal RNA, internal transcribed spacer 1, and 5.8S ribosomal RNA". The stretch from base 1 to 73 matches the Rfam family "Eukaryotic small subunit ribosomal RNA", at positions 1759 to 1831 of the family's 1831-position model. The record is from RNAcentral. Lineage: Eukaryota; Fungi.